UGUUUUGUUUUUUUUUUUUAAUCCCCUGACCCAUUUGGCGCUACCUGGAGACGUGGCUGGUUGUUGUAGCUAGGGUUGGCCUAUGUACUUCCUAGCAGUUGGUGGGUAGAGACAAGAGAUGCUGUUGACUAUUUGUUCUAGGACACACAGCAUCAUGUCUUUUCUGCCACAGAGAACUGUGCAGCCCAACGUGUCACAGUCGUCAAGGUGGGAAACUUGUCAUGAUAGAUGAUUAUGCAGAUUCUUAUCAAGAGCAAGUUGAGGGUCAGGGAAGAAGAAGGGGGAGAAACAGAGAAAGCAAAACUUUCUCUUUGGAGUAUCAUAUCUGACAUCCAGAAGGAGACCCAGUUAAGCUGAACUACUCUCUGCCACUGGGAGCUCUCUCAAAAGCUCGAUUGCUCAACUCAGUAGUUUGGAACAGGAAGUGGAGGCCCUCGUAGUGGCAGGAAGCUGAAGGGGUGAUGAUUUGUAGAGGCAGAAGGUUUAUAUGCUGAGCAGGGCAGCCGGGCCCUACCAGAAUGCUUUUGUAAAGUUCUAGGGACGUUUUCAAAGGUUGUCUUGUUGAGGACAUUGAAUGUGGUGCUGAGAAGACACAGCCUUUGCUCCAGCAUUGUGACCUUCUAGAAGGCCAUGGGUCUGAAGGCCUGUGUACAUUCCAAAUCGUCCCAAGAAGACAGCCAACAGCAUUUUCAGGUUGCAUCUUCUCCCCAUGUCUCUUUAACAUUCUCUUUUAACUACAGGAAAUUUGAAGC
This 752-nucleotide long non-coding RNA is filed under the name Mus musculus (house mouse). RNAcentral's name for it is "long non-coding RNA chr4:119738407-119739159". The record is from RNAcentral. Lineage: Eukaryota; Metazoa; Chordata; Mammalia; Rodentia; Muridae.